UCUGUGGUUGAAUAAGGAGGCAUGGUCAUUUAUUAUGUUUUGGAUUCUUACAAAGUUACAAUAAGAGUAAAAAGGAAGAGGGCACACUAUGCAUAACACUUAUUAGCGCAUACGCUGUAAAGCACUCUGAAGACAACGCCGAAACACGUAAAUGCAAAUAAGGUCAGUGUUAUGCAACGUGUGUGGCCACCUUUUGUUAGUUAUUUAAGCGUUACCCAAUGGCCCUGCACUAUUAGCAUAAUAGGGGAUUAUCACGCUUCCUGGUUCCGGUGGCGGGAUUUGUCUUCGUUGUGCAUGAACACUUCCGGCGCACUUCAACAAUGGCUGAAACAAAGGCUAGAUGUCACUGCUCUGUUCCACUUUGUACAUCUAACAAACAACACCAACCCUACUUAAGUUUUCAUGGAUUCCCGACUGAAUUGAGUCUAAGGAAGAAGUGGAUUCAAGCGGUUCGCCGGGAUGAAGGGCCAAACUUUAAAAUAAAACAAGGUAGCACGUUUGUUUGUAGCCGGCACUUUAGUGAAUCAGACUACAAACGCUACAGCUAGCAACCAACCAGGGUCACAAUAAGCGACUGAAAAUCGGGUCUGUACCCUCCCGUUUCCAGUGGAACAACUGGGGACUGCCAAGAAGGGGGUCUGUUUAUAAAAGAGCAUCAACUCGCUUAGGCCAUGACGUUCACCCAGCCCUUCCUCUGGAGCAACCGCUGCCCUGUGAAUAAUAAUAAUACCCCAUACUGUUCUUAAACCACCUACCUGACAGGAUGUGCUACCUAUGGUUUAAUCACAGAAUGGGCUCUUAGUAGGUUAUACUGAGGAGGUAGGUCAACUUUUCAGUACUCGGGCACAAAAUGUUUAGUCUUAUUAAUGUCCCAGCAUUUGACCAAACCACAAUGUGAAAAGCUUCAUAACAAGUACAAAUGUUGCAUUUUAUAUCUUACUUAAUUAAUUGUAAAGGUGAAUAUUGAGCUAUAAAAAGCACAUUUUAAAAGCAAUAUUGAGCUACAAAAAGCAAUUUCUUUAGAGGUCCAAACUGCUUCCAAUAUGCAAGUCACAGCCAAAAUCUGGGUUAGAUGUUUUAAUCUUUAUUCCUCAUCUCAUACAGCUGCACUGGAUGCUGCUGCUGUACACAUACAGCAAUUGGAAGAAACAGUCAAGGAGCUGAUGAGAGCCGUCACAGCUGAAAGUGGUUCAAGUGCCUUUUCACAGAUUUUGUGUCUCAGACGAGGACAUCCUUUUUUACACCAGAUUCACGUCAAGAUAUGUUUUUUGUGACUUCUGGGAGGUUAUUCAACCAUCUGCCUCCAUGUUGGUUUAUUGGUCGAAAGCUCAGAAAAAGAAACAAACAUUUUUUGAACCCAUUUCUCCCAGUCCAACGUGUAGUCUGCAACUGGUUGAGUUUUUUUCUCUUCUGCUGCCGGGUUGCUGCAGGCCUGCAAGAGAAGGUGCUGGCUGACAUGUUUCAGGUCAGUGUGUCCACUGUCUCCCAUGUUGUUAUACCGUGGGCCAACUACCGUUACCUGCUCCUUGGCUCCCUCCCCUGCUCCUUGGCUCCCUCCCCAUCUGGAUGAGUAAACAGCAAGUCAAGAACACCAUGCCAAGCAAAUUUGUGCAGUACAGUCCAGAUGUUCGGGUAAUCAUCGACUGCACCGAGGUGCAGUCGAUGAUUACCCGAACAUCAUCUUACAAGAACACAACAACCUUUAAGGCCUUGAUUGGGAUUGCCCCUUGUAGUGCUGUGACUUUUGUGUCAAGUCUCUUCACCGGCUCCAUCUCCGACCCAGAGCUGACUAAACGAAGUGGACUUCUGGAUUUACUGGAGCUAGGAGAUGGCUGCAUGGCAGACAAGGGUUUCACCAUCGAGAAGCCACUAGCUGAUCGUGGGGCAACGUUGAUUGUACCACCCUUCAAGAUGACAGUUCACUGAAGAGGAUGCUCUGAAAACACAAGCAAUCGCUCGACUUCGAAUCCUCGUAGAAAGAGCAAUAGGCAGAGUCAAGGAAUAACGCAUCUGGGAACGCACUGUCCUCUCACCUUGUCUGUGACAGUCAAUCAGCUGUGGACCGUCUGCUGUGUGAUGACCAACUUCCAGGGACCACUUGAUUUAAAAGGCUACAUCCCUGUUGAAUAGUGUUUCUACUCAAACAUGUACCUAUAAAUAUUUAAUAUAAUAUGUAAAUAUUAAAACAAGAGGCAGUGGCACUGAACAUUUGGAGUGCUCCCUUCAUUUUUUCCGGAGCUGUAAUUUUGCACACUGAAAACAUAUUGAAUGACAUGUAUUUAAUUGAAUGAGAAGUCUUUCAUCUAUAAUCAAUUUUAAAGUCCAGUCAGUCCAUCCUGAAAGUAUUCAAAAUAAUGUUAAUAUAUAAUGUAGUAAAUGAUGUACUCAGAAAAAGGGAAUGAAUUAAAUCCUUUUAUUCUUUCA
Molecule: long non-coding RNA, 2424 nt
Organism: Gadus morhua (Atlantic cod)
Lineage: Eukaryota; Metazoa; Chordata; Actinopteri; Gadiformes; Gadidae
Exons: 2
Source: RefSeq, a predicted model, not a curated record